This is a long non-coding RNA of Numida meleagris (helmeted guineafowl), 1430 nucleotides long. RefSeq lists it as uncharacterized. NCBI's taxonomy places the organism in Eukaryota, Metazoa, Chordata, Aves, Galliformes, Numididae. The transcript has 8 exons. The record is from RefSeq and is a predicted model, not a curated record.
GGACAAAACUCCAAACAAACCUCCAAACCCUUGAAAGGAGGCAGUGAGUUUCUUAGCAACCUGGUCUAUGUUUGAGAUCAAAGCUCACCAUGGUCUAGGACCUGAGCAGAAAGCAAGGUGAAAGAAAGCUGAAAGUGUUCCUUUCUGUCCCAGUGACAACAACCCUCCAAUGUCCUUUCCCAAGACAGAAGAUAAAGAUUCUUUCUAGGACCAAAACUACCAUGGUUUCCUGUGGUGCAAAGACAAUCAGUCAGUGCUAAGAGAUGGUGUUAAUCCCACCCAUCAUGGAUUUACUCUUCAGAUACUUCUCUGAAGGAGAGAGUCAUCAUAUAUGCACAUGCAUAUUAUGUAUAUUUGCCCUUUCCAGGGGCUGUUGUCAGUAGCAGCAGCAGAAGUUCUGCACUCUUUCAGCCUGAACUUUGCACAGGUAGGAGGAGGGUGAUCUUGGACAACAUGGAGUACAUCCAGAGGCCUCUGAGACUACUGCUGGGAUCAGGGAGUUAAAACUGGCAUGGCCUCGAAGAAGGUGAAAACCCCAGAGACCCUCAAAAAGGACGAAGAAUUGGGAGGCUUCUUACCAUCUGAGGGGGAAAAAUAGGAAUCUCAAGCAAAAUUCAUCUGGUUUGAGAAUAAAGACAAAACAUGUCACGCCUGUGACUGGAAGUGUGCAUUUUUCAGAGGGGGCAUCUGGACAGAAGUGAUCCAGAGCUGCCUGCAUUACAGGCGACUGGCAAGGCUCGCAAAGCACGGCAGGUCCUUGGGAUCAGGAGAAAAGUCAUGGAGGGCAUAGCUAUUCUCCUUGCAGCUCCUUCUGCAUGGCCACAGUGGCUGUUAUGAGUGAUCUGUGAAAAAGAAGCCCGGAAGGAAACCUGCAGAGAGAUGUGUAAUGAAACAGAAUAAUGUUCAUGGCACAAACUUACCUAAAAAUCAGUCGAAACUCUACAAACCGAUCUCUAUACAUCCCUGUCCCGUACUGUGUGAAGGAACCUCUGUUGUUACCAAGAACAGAAAACUUGAAAUCAUCCAGAACUCCUUAUGUUCACCACAGCUGAAACAACUGCAGAUGGCAAUGCUGAACUGAACAAACUAUAAUAUAGGGAAAAGCAAAGAAGAUACCUCACCUUGGUAAGCAGAGGUUAUAUCUGACCUGGUGCCGGCCCAUUCACAGAGGACACGCUCUCUGUUUAAAAGACAGGUUAAGCUAGCAGAGGACCAUUAGUGUUUCAUGGUGAUCUAUCCAGGGCUGUUUUCUGGAGGUGUGAGAUGAGGCUUCCCUGCUGCAGCCCUGACCACAGGUGACAGCUGAGGGCAAAGACACUUUCCAGAGUGCGGGCUUUUAUGUCUUUGGACAAAUAAAAAUGAGUAGCUACCAACCGUAACAACUGUCAGCACUUGUGCCUUCCUUGACAGUGAAGUGAAAAUCAAACAAA